RNAcentral lists this unclassified non-coding RNA (213 nucleotides) under uncultured fungus. RNAcentral's name for it is "sequence contains ITS1, 5.8S rRNA gene". The stretch from base 165 to 213 matches the Rfam family "5.8S ribosomal RNA", at positions 1 to 49 of the family's 154-position model. Lineage: Eukaryota; Fungi. The record is from RNAcentral.
UCUCCGUUGGUGAACCAGCGGAGGGAUCAUUACAGGAUUCGCAAGAACUCCCGUAACCACUGUGAACCUUACCUUCUGUUUCCUCGGCGGGCUCGCCCGCCAACGGGGACCACAAAGAAACCUCUUGCAGUUGCAGUAAACGUCAAAAACAAAACAAAAAUCAAAACUUUCAACAACGGAUCUCUUGGUUCUGGCAUCGAUGAAGAACGCAGC